GUGAGUCAUCGAAUCUUUGAACGCACAUUGCGCCCCUUGGCAUUCCGAGGGGCAUGCCCGUUCGAGCGUCAUUAUAACCCCUCAAGCCUAGCUUGGUGUUGGGGCCUGCUGUUACCGGCAGCCCUUAAAAUCAGUGGCGGUGCUAUCUGGCUCUAAGCGUAGUAAUACUUCUCGCUACAGGGUCCCGGUGGAUGCUUGCCAUCAACCCCUAAUUUUCUAUGGUUGACCUCGGAUCGGGUAGGGAUACCCGCUGAACUUAAGCAUAUCAAUAAGCGGAGGA
Molecule: unclassified non-coding RNA, 280 nt
Filed under: Leohumicola sp.
Lineage: Eukaryota; Fungi; Ascomycota; Leotiomycetes
Description: partial contains 5.8S ribosomal RNA, internal transcribed spacer 2, and large subunit ribosomal RNA
Rfam family: 5.8S ribosomal RNA (bases 1-71)
Source: RNAcentral